UCAUAAAUUUCCAAUGUCAAAUCUAAUUACAAUUCUAAAAUCAAAUCAAAUUACAAAUUAAAAAUAAAACCAAAUUAAAUUACAAUAAAAUUUAAACCAAAUUAAAUUAAACCAGCCUGCUUUGGCUCUAUUUUGUUGUUGUCCUUAAUGUCGCCUCUCUGUUUCUGAUGCAAUAUCAUGGUUGAGGCACUAGCCUUUGCUUUAUAACUAAUUAGAUAAACAUAAAAGCAUAAUUUUUACUAGUCAGCCUUUGUACACAUGAUAAAAAUUAAAAGACAAAAUUUGGAGUUUGAAAAAAAAAAAAACUAAAGGACAAAUUACAGCUGCAAAUAAAAGCUCAGCAAAAGAACAAAUGAAGACAAGCAUAGGCUAAAACCAUGAAUGCAUCAAAUGCAGAAAAAAAAACGCAGAUGAUGAGCAAAGGAAACGAAACAUCAAAAUUGGAACUGGAAACAGAGGCAAACAAGAAAGCAAUUAAACAGAUAAAAAAACUCUAUGAAUACACCUUAUCAAAUUUCAAAAGGGGGGAGGGAUCUGAGAUUAACUCUACUAAAAAAAACACAUAUACAAAGAAGGGGAAGGGGAAAAAAUCAGAGAGAGUUUCAAUAACAAACAACAAACACGAAACAUUAAGGUAUUUUUUCUUGUUGCUCUUUAUCAUCAUCAAACAAUCACUCUUUUAUUUAAAAUAACGUAGACUUUUUAUUUAAUGAACGAAAUAUAAAACAAUUAAAAAUCUGAACCUGUGAUGAUGUCUUUUUCGUUGUUGCCAUCGUCGAUGUCACUGUCGCCAUUGUCGUUGUCGGCGCUACCACCGUCGCUGAGGUUGCCGUCACCUUCCUCACCAUCGUCGUUCCCUCAUUUCUCUUUCGAUUUUGCAUCCUAGUUUUUUUUCCAAUCGUGUUUCUGCCUGGCCGCCUCCUUUGCAUUGUCAUGUUGGUCGCCUCCUUUGUGUUGUCAUGUUGGCCGCCUCCUUAAAAUGAAACUAGGAUUUUCUAGGUUUUGUUUUGACCUUUUUUUUAUUAAGUUGGGUUGGGCAUGUGUUUUAAGCUAAUAACUAAAAUAUAUUCAAGCUCAAUCCAUUUAAAUCUAUUCAUUUUAUUUUUAAUUUUUUUUUAUAAAGAAAAUGAGUUAAUUUCCUUCAUAACUAAAUAUCAACUUCAUCAUAAAAAAUAUAAAUAAAUAUUAUGUUAACAAUUAAUUAGAUAUGACAUCUUUUUAAUUUUUGAGUUGUUAGAACACAAGCGGUACAACUUGAUAGUUCUAAAACUCUCUUUAUUUAUUUAAUUUAUUUAUUUAUUUAUUUUAAUGAACUAAUCUAAAAUCGACUUAUAAAUUUGAUGUAAUAUUAUUUCUUAUCUUUGAGUUGUUAAUACACGUAUUCUACAACUUGGUGUUUUUUUAAAUUCAUAUGAAACUCAAUAAUAAUAUAAAAUAUUUUUUUAGAGGAUUAGAUUAGAUGUGACAUCUUCUUUACUCCUUGAGUCUUGAGACACAAGUUGUACAACUUGAUCGUCCUAAAACUCAUAUUUUAAAAUAUUUAUUCAAAUAAAACUAUUUUAUUUUUCUAUUUUGUCAAAAAAAAAUUUUAUUACAAGACAAUUUUUUUUAAAACACACUUAACACAUCUGCAUUUUCCUAAGAACUACAUAGCUUUGAUUUGUCCAUCGCAUCGGGAGAUACGUAGGAACAAGAUCGCAUUCUUGUCAAGCACAUUAAUAAAUUUUAUUUUAUUUUCAUCUUUUAUUUCUUAAGCACAUAUUCAUUCCAAAAUCAUAUUUUAAAAAAUAAUAAUAAUUGUUAUUCAUAUUUAAUUAUAAAGAGAAAUAAAUAUACUUAAGUUAAUAUUAAUCUUGCACAAUUAAUUAUAGGUAACCAUAUUUUAACGGAUGUCGCAGGGUGCUAAUACCUUCCCUACGCAUAAUCGACUCCCGAACUUAAAAUUUGGUUUCGAAGACCAUUUUUUUAAUUUUUUCUAUUUUUAAAGGUUUCCCAAUAUUUUCUUCAUUUUAAAAUAAAUUUUGGUGGCGACUCAAUUGAAUUCGAUAAACACUCCAAAUUUUAAGCCGUGACAAUGAUUGUACUUAGAGAAUUUCAAAGCGUGUUGUUACACUUGCCUUUAGGUUUUAUUCACCCCACUAAUCAGAUGCGAACAAAGAAUUUCAUUCAUGGUCCUUUAGAAAACUUUGAUAUGAUUUGCACUAACACACCAAAAGUAUUUUUUAUAUUACAAAAGAAUAUUUCAUACACUUCACUCAUGCAUUAGAAAACGAUAUAAUGAUUUAAAAUAUAAAAAAUGAGAAAAUUGUAAAUAACAAUGACAGAAUUCGUAUGUCAUUUUCUAUAUAGAAAAUAUAAUAUUAUAAUAUUAACUAAAAUGUUACUGGUGAUAAAAAUAUAAUCUCUUUUGCGCAUAGUCUGAAUUUGUAUUCUAGAGGUCGCAUGCAACCACAAGUCCAACAAUAUAAUAUAACAAUUUUAACUAUGUACGCAUAAUAUUUUAAAAAUACCUUGCAUAUCUUGGAAAUGGUUAAAUAGAAAAGUAAAGUGGUGUUAAUUAUUCUCUUAGUGGAUCCUUAAUUAAUGCAUCGGAAUGCUUGGAGUUAGUGGUCUGAGGGAGUCCCGUUUUGUUGUGUUGAAAUUGAUUUUCAAUUUGAUUUGUAAGUAUCAUGGAAUGUGUGGGAAUGGAUUGAAGAUCAACGCGGGUUGCUUCUGCUAAUUCAGUACUUGAUUUUACUAUUUAAGUAUAUACUGAUGAGCCUCACAUUUUUUUAAAAUUUGUCUACAAUUGUAAGUUGAAUAGGUUUUCAAAUUCUGUACACUAAUGGGCAACUCUUUGUGCC
This 2843-nucleotide long non-coding RNA is filed under the name Cicer arietinum (chickpea). RNAcentral's name for it is "long non-coding RNA (CARI_LNC003034)". The record is from RNAcentral. Lineage: Eukaryota; Viridiplantae; Streptophyta; Magnoliopsida; Fabales; Fabaceae.